UACAGAGGGGGCAAGCGUUGUUCGGAAUUACUGGGCGUAAAGGGCGCGUAGGCGGCCUGUUAAGUCGGACGUGAAAUCCCUCGGCUCAACCGGGGAACUGCGUCUGAUACUGGCGGGCUUGAAUUCGGGAGAGGGAUGUGGAAUUCCAGGUGUAGCGGUGAAAUGCGUAGAUAUCUGGAGGAACACCGGUGGCGAAGGCGGCAUCCUGGACCGACAUUGACGCUGAGGCGCGAAAGCCAGGGGAGCAAACGGGAUUAGAAACCUAGUAGUCC
Molecule: ribosomal RNA, 272 nt
Filed under: uncultured prokaryote
Description: partial 16S ribosomal RNA
Rfam family: Bacterial small subunit ribosomal RNA
Source: RNAcentral